ACGGAAGGCAGCAGUGGGGAAUAUUGCACAAUGGAGGAAACUCUGAUGCAGCAACUCCGCGUGAAGGAUGAAGGUCUUCGGAUUGUAAACUUCUGUCCUUAGGGAAGAUAAUGACGGUACCUUUGGAGGAAGCCCCGGCUAACUACGUGCCAGCAGCCGCGGUAAUACGUAGGGGGCAAGCGUUAUCCGGAAUUAUUGGGCGUAAAGGGUGCGUAGGUGGUUACCUAAGCAGGGGGUGAAAGGCAUUGGCUUAACCAAUGUUAGCCCCCUGAACUGGGCUACUUGAGUACAGGAGGGGAAAGUGGAGUUCCUAGUGUAGCGGUGAAAUGCGUAGAUAUUAGGAGGAACACCGGUGGCGAAGGCGACUUUCUGGACUGUUACUGACACUGAGGCACGAAAGUGUGGGGAGCAAACAGGAUUAGAUACCCUGGUA
This 433-nucleotide ribosomal RNA is filed under the name uncultured Anaerovorax sp. RNAcentral describes it as "partial 16S ribosomal RNA". It matches the Rfam family "Bacterial small subunit ribosomal RNA", at positions 341 to 792 of the family's 1533-position model. The record is from RNAcentral. Lineage: Bacteria; Bacillati; Bacillota; Clostridia; Peptostreptococcales; Anaerovoracaceae.